RNAcentral lists this unclassified non-coding RNA (2165 nucleotides) under Monomorium pharaonis (pharaoh ant). RNAcentral's name for it is "uncharacterized LOC118644716, transcript variant X2". Lineage: Eukaryota; Metazoa; Arthropoda; Insecta; Hymenoptera; Formicidae. The record is from RNAcentral.
UCAAAUUUACUAUUUAAAUUUUCCAUGUACAUUUUACAAAUUCAUUGAUAGAAUUUAAAUUAAACUUUAAUGUACCAGUCCGCACUAGUGUUGCUAGUCAAAUUCGCUAUAAAUUAUUAUAACAUAAGUAUGUAUUAUAUGUAUGUACAUACAUACAUAAAUACAUUACUAAUUUUAACUUUAUGAAGUUUCCUCAUAGUCUUCUCUCGAUAAAAGAAAUAAAUCGAUAGCGUAUAGAUUAAAUAUUUGGUUUAAUUUUUUGUCUUCGCUAAAUUUUUGGUUAUAACAGUAUGGUAAAAUUCGUAGCCCAUUCGCCGUUUGAUAUAUUCCAUGGAACAAAACGAAAAACGUUCAAGAAUUAUUCUAACUCACACAUUACUAUAGCCAAGUUUGACAAAUCAAACAGUAUUUCAAAAGCUUUAAGGUUACAAGUGAAUCCUAAAGAUGGUAAUUUCAACAAUAAAAGUAUAAAUGACCUGAAAGUGCAAAGAAAUGAAGAUUCUUACAAGAAUAAAUUAAAGGUUACUCUCUUCGUUCGCUAUUAACACGAGCGAAUACUGGAAGAACGUGCUUUGUAAUCAAUGGCUAUUAGCGUUACAAGGAAUUAUAAUAGUAAUUGUAAUUUUUACUAUGAGAACAUGGAUUGGAUAUGAGUGUAAAGAAGACAUCAUUGACGACAGUCUAGUGGCAUUGUGGCGUUCAUUUAUCGAACGAUUACGAGAAACCAUCACCGAUGUGGAAAUGGAAUUACGACCGUGUUAUCGUAUAGAAAUGGAUACUCAACAAAAGAAAGCAAGCAUUCUGAAGCGAAGACGUAUGUUUGUAAAUGGAUAACAAUUACUUUUUUGUUCGUAAAAAUAAAAAAAUUUACAAUAUCGUCCUUUUCUCAAAUUAUAAAUUUUUAACAUUGAGCAUUUCCAAGAAAAACCAAACCAUUAGAAGAAGCCAAGAAGCGUUAUCUUUCAACAUUAUAUUUAUGUAAUUUUAACUAAAAAAUUAAUAAAAAAACAUGGAUUAUAAAAUGUAACGUAAAUAAUUAAUAUUUAAAGUAAAUAUUUUACAAGAAUAGAAAUAUAUAAACUUAUAAUUCUUCUACAAGGAUUCAAAAGCAUAGUAGAAGAUUACUAUUUCAGCGUAUACUUUGAUAACAUUGUUCUCUUACGCUUUUUUUGUAAUGCAUAAUCUCAAUCUGCGUUUGAUGCUAAAAAUUAAUAAAUUAAUUACAAUUUUUCAAAAUUUUACGUUGUAUCUGAUUAUCCUUCAAUCUUUGUUUUCUAUUUCACGACUUUCUUCAUGCGUACGUAUAAAAAAUCCAAAUAUAUCUAUAUCUACAUCAACGUGAAUAAAUUGUUUGUCGACUAAACAUGGACUGAAUGAAAAGUAAUGUCUCCAUGAGCACUGACUGGAUGGGAAUUAAAACAUCUGUUAAAUUGGAGUAAUAUUUUUACCGACAUAGUGCGAAAACGCUCCAUCAAACUUCUACAAAAUAUAUCAAUUACGUAAAAUCGUAAAAUAUAAACUAACGAAAGUGAUUAAUAAAUGUUGUAUAAAAAAUAAAAUGUCGUAGGACUAUAACAGUCAAAAGUUAAUGAAAAUUAAUAACGUAAAAUCACUUCUAACAUUACGUGAAGUAUAGUCAACGGAACUGGCGUUUAUUUUCAUUUGUAUGUUACUUAUUUAUUACUUCAAAUUACUUUUACCAAUCAGAAAAACCAUAUAAGUGGAGAGUGGAAACUAGUUAUUAAAACAAGCUAAAGUGUAAACGUGCUAAUAAAAAUUACUACGUUGCACUUUAAUUGUCUGUUGACUUUAAAGCUGGUAAAAAUGCAACAUUUCUUUGACGCUCUGUCCUAACGAGGGAGAAAUUUAUAAUUCUCGGAAAAAAAAAGAAAAUUGCAUUAUUGGAUUAACAUUAACGUAACUUUAUUCUUGGAAUUAUUUAGAUUUAAAAAUGUCGCUAUUUCGCGAUUAUCCGAGUAAAUGGAGAUUUCAGAAAGAAAAGACAUAUUGCCCCGUCAUAUAUCUUUAUUCUUUUCUUUGUAAAGCAUUACGCGGAAAUAACCUCUCUCUUUUAAAGCUAUCGAAUAAUAAAAAACCUAUUUUGUAAGUUGUUCUUAAAAAACAUAAUUUGAUAUAAAAUGCACAUGCACUGAAAGAAUUAUUUU